AAGUCGUAACAAGGUAACCGUAGGUGAACCUGCGGUUGGAUCAUUAAUAAAUUAGGAGAGCAAUCUGUUGCGGUAAAACGUGCAGCAUUGUUUCUUGACAUUUUGUGAACAGUUUAUUGUCUCUGGUGGAUUUCGGUCCACCAAUUACCAUUAACAUUGUAAUAUUUAAAUCGUCUUCAACUUUUAAAUUCUAAAUUUAAAACAACUUUUGACAACGGAUCUCUAGGCUCUC
RNAcentral lists this unclassified non-coding RNA (232 nucleotides) under fungal sp. RNAcentral describes it as "partial internal transcribed spacer region". The stretch from base 1 to 46 matches the Rfam family "Eukaryotic small subunit ribosomal RNA", at positions 1786 to 1831 of the family's 1831-position model. The record is from RNAcentral. Lineage: Eukaryota; Fungi.